AGAAUGACUGGAACAGAUGUAUUUCGGUUUUAAGAUACAAAACCAUGCAUCUGGAAAUGAUUUUGUAUCAGUAAACCGGAAUCUAUCCGUGACAAACUCACCACCA
Brugia malayi is the source of this 106-nucleotide non-coding RNA. Lineage: Eukaryota; Metazoa; Nematoda; Chromadorea; Rhabditida; Onchocercidae. The record is from RefSeq and is a predicted model, not a curated record.